This 955-nucleotide long non-coding RNA is filed under the name Homo sapiens (human). Its description in RNAcentral is "non-protein coding lnc-CLUAP1-2:2". Lineage: Eukaryota; Metazoa; Chordata; Mammalia; Primates; Hominidae. The record is from RNAcentral.
AUCCAUCCACUCAUUCAUUUAUCCAUUCAUUCACCCAUCCAUCCAUCCAUCCAUCCACCUGCCUACCCAUCCACCACUACCCACCCAACCAUCCAUCCACCCACCCAUAUACUCAUUUAACCAUCCAUCCAUCUAUCCACUCAUUCAUCCAUCAGUCCACUCAUCCAUCCAUCCGUCCACUCAUCAGUGUAUCCCUUCAUUCAUCCAUCCAUCCAUCCAUCCAUCCAUAACCCCUCUUCUGGGAGGCUGUCCCUGACACGGCCCUUCAAGCCACUGGAGCCCGACUCCCCACCAGGCUGGGAUAGGCCAGCGUCUGUCUCCUCCACUGGACCGGACGCAAUGGUAAAGGCAUGUGCUGUCUUGGUGAGUUGUGGGGUGGGGCCUGAAUCUGCUUUUGUAGCAACUCCCGGCUGAGGCAGCAGCUGGGGGUGCUUGGGCCCCACUUUGAGGUGCGGGGGCUGGAGCUUGGCACCCAGCCAGGGCUCUGUUGGAUACGGGUGUGUGGAUUAAUGGAUGAACAUCUGCAUCUCUGGUCUGGGAACUGAAAUGAGGAGACAGCAGGCCCAGGUUACUCCAAAGUAAAGGGCAGGUGCAAGGUGGGGACUUCUGCAGGCGUGGGGCACGGGCUGAGGGGCCACGGUGCCUCCAGGUCCCCCGUUUCGCUCGUGGUCUCCCUGGAGUGUGGCAGCCAGAUUUUAAUAAAGCCUUUUUGGUUUAUUGCACAUCAUAUAAAACUGACUGCACUGUAUUUAUGUGGGGCAGGAACCAGGAGGCCUGCGCAGGGCUGGGGUCAGGGAACCAGCCCCCUAAACCCACCUGGUUUUCCCACAGGUCAAACCCAGAAGGUGACGGGGGUUUUUGAAGAUUGGCCAUUAGGUCUCACUCGUGCCAACCCUCACGCCCACGGGCCAGAGGAUACAUGAGGCCACUGACCCCAUCGCAUCCAUCCGGUUAC